RNAcentral lists this ribosomal RNA (418 nucleotides) under Vibrio tubiashii. RNAcentral describes it as "bacterial SSU rRNA". It matches the Rfam family "Bacterial small subunit ribosomal RNA", at positions 266 to 676 of the family's 1533-position model. The record is from RNAcentral. Lineage: Bacteria; Pseudomonadati; Pseudomonadota; Gammaproteobacteria; Vibrionales; Vibrionaceae.
CACCAAGGCGACGAUCCCUAGCUGGUCUGAGAGGAUGAUCAGCCACACUGGAACUGAGACACGGUCCAGACUCCUACGGGAGGCAGCAGUGGGGAAUAUUGCACAAUGGGCGCAAGCCUGAUGCAGCCAUGCCGCGUGUAUGAAGAAGGCCUUCGGGUUGUAAAGUACUUUCAGCAGUGAGGAAGGUGGUAGUGUUAAUAGCACUAUCAUUUGACGUUAGCUGCAGAAGAAGCACCGGCUAACUCCGUGCCAGCAGCCGCGGUAAUACGGAGGGUGCGAGCGUUAAUCGGAAUUACUGGGCGUAAAGCGCAUGCAGGUGGUUUGUUAAGUCAGAUGUGAAAGCCCGGGGCUCAACCUCGGAAUUGCAUUUGAAACUGGCAGACUAGAGUACUGUAGAGGGGGGUAGAAUUUCAGGUGU